RNAcentral lists this ribosomal RNA (629 nucleotides) under Vanrija humicola. RNAcentral's name for it is "LSU rRNA". It matches the Rfam family "Eukaryotic large subunit ribosomal RNA", at positions 34 to 655 of the family's 3401-position model. Lineage: Eukaryota; Fungi; Basidiomycota; Tremellomycetes; Trichosporonales; Trichosporonaceae. The record is from RNAcentral.
UUAAGCAUAUCAAUAAGCGGAGGAAAAGAAACUAACAAGGAUUCCCCUAGUAGCGGCGAGUGAAGCGGGAAGAGCUCAAAUUUGUAAUCUGGCGUCUUUCAGGCGUCCGAGUUGUAAUCUAUAGAAGUGUUUUCCGUGCUGGACCAUGUCCAAGUCCCUUGGAACAGGGUAUCAAAGAGGGUGACAAUCCCGUACUUGACAUGACCACCAGUGCUCUGUGAUACACUUUCUACGAGUCGAGUUGUUUGGGAAUGCAGCUCAAAAUGGGUGGUAAAUUCCAUCUAAAGCUAAAUAUUGGCGAGAGACCGAUAGCGAACAAGUACCGUGAGGGAAAGAUGAAAAGCACUUUGGAAAGAGAGUUAAACAGUACGUGAAAUUGUUGAAAGGGAAACGAUUGAAGUCAGUCGUGUUCAUUGGACUCAGCCGGUUUUCGGUGUAUUUCCUUUGAACGGGUCAACAUCAGUUUUGUCCGGUGGAUAAAGGCAGGAAGAAAGUGGCUCCCUCGGGAGUGUUAUAGCUUUCUGUCACAUACACUGGAGGAGACUGAGGACUGCAGCUCGCCUUUUGGCCGGGGUUCGCCCACGUUCGAGCUUAGGAUGUUGACAUAAUGGCUUUAAACGACCCGUCUG